Eleginops maclovinus (Patagonian blennie) is the source of this 116-nucleotide small nuclear RNA. RefSeq annotates it as U5 spliceosomal RNA. The transcript has a single exon. The record is from RefSeq and is a predicted model, not a curated record. Lineage: Eukaryota; Metazoa; Chordata; Actinopteri; Perciformes; Eleginopidae.
UUGCGCUGGUUUCUCUUUAAAGCGUAUACGCUUUCCGCAUUUUACUAAAGACUUCCGUGGAGGGGAACACCUAUGAGUUCAACCUAGUUUUGACAGGCUUUGCCGUUUGGCUGAGC